GUGCAGCAGGCGAGAAUACUUUACAAUGUGCGAAAGCACGAUAAGGGAACUCUGAGUGCCUCCUAAGGAGGCUGUUCUGAUGUCUAAAAAGCAACAGAAGUAAGGGCUGGGUAAGACCGGUGCCAGCCGCCGCGGUAACACCGGCAGCCCAAGUGGUAGCCACGUUUAUUGGGUCUAAAGCGUUCGUAGCCGGCCAGGUAAGUUCCUUGGUAAAUUUAGCCGCUUAACGGUUAAGCUUUCAGGGAAUACUGCUUGGCUUGGGACUGGGAGAGGUCAGAGGUACUCCGGGGGUAGGGGUGAAAUCUAUUAAUCCCUGGGGGACCACCGGUAGCGAAGGCGUCUGACCAGACCAGGUCCGACGGUGAGGGACGAAGGCUAGGGGCGCGAACCGGAUUAGAUACCCCGGUAGU
Molecule: ribosomal RNA, 410 nt
Filed under: uncultured microorganism
Description: bacterial SSU rRNA
Rfam family: Archaeal small subunit ribosomal RNA
Source: RNAcentral